GGGUAGAGAUACAGAAGUAUCCGGAGAUAUAUCAACAGAUGAUCCUGUUCCCGGUUCAGGUGAGACUAUAAGGCUGCUGGUUCUUUCGGUUAACGUCUCAGCAGCAGGGUUCUCAACGGGGGGAACAUCUGCUACUAAAGCUUCAACAGGUGAAACAUCUGCUACAAUAGCGUCAAGAGGAGAAGCAUCUGUUACAACAGCUUCAACAGGUGAAAGAUCUGAUACAACAGCUUCAACAGGUGAAACAUCUGCUACAAUAGCUUCAAGAGGGGAACCAUCUGCUACGACAGCUUCGACAGGUGAAACAUCUGAUGUACUUUCGACAUAUGUUAGUCCCCCAUUUCUUACAUCUCUCAUGUCAUAAACCAUGUAGUUUAUUCUAUCCAACUCAUUCUCACACAAGUUUCUGAACGUGGAUGAUGUUUGCUCCGUGUUUUCGAUAGUAGCGGUGAAGAAUCUACCAGUGGCUUGAGUUAAGAAACUCUUCUGCAAGCUUUGUGU
RNAcentral lists this long non-coding RNA (501 nucleotides) under Brassica napus (rape). RNAcentral describes it as "long non-coding RNA (BNAP_LNC002499)". Lineage: Eukaryota; Viridiplantae; Streptophyta; Magnoliopsida; Brassicales; Brassicaceae. The record is from RNAcentral.